This 269-nucleotide ribosomal RNA is filed under the name uncultured bacterium. RNAcentral describes it as "partial 16S ribosomal RNA". It matches the Rfam family "Bacterial small subunit ribosomal RNA", at positions 524 to 776 of the family's 1533-position model. The record is from RNAcentral.
UACGUAGGAGACGAGCGUUGUCCGGAGUUACUGGGCGUAAAGGGUGCGCAGGUGGCGGCGCGCGUGGGGGGUGAAAUCGCCCGGCUUAACUGGGCGGGGGCCUUCCAGACGGCGUGGCUUGAGCAGCGGAGGGGGACGUGGAAUUCCGGGUGGAGCGGCGAAAUGCGUAGAGAUUCGGAAGAACACCGGUGGCGAAGGCGGCCUGCUGGGCAGUAGCCGAAAGGCUUGAAAGCUGACGCUGAGGCGCGACAGCGUGGGGAGCAAACAGG